CCUACGGGUGGCAGCAGUGGGGGAUAUUGCACAAUGGGGGGAACCCUGAUGCAGCGACGCCGCGUGGGUGAAGAAGCGCCUCGGCGCGUAAAGCCCUGUCAGCAGGGAAGAAAAUGACGGUAGCUGACGAAGAAGCCCCGGCUAACUACGUGCCAGCAGCCACGGUAAUACGAAGGGGGCAAGCGUUAUCCGGAUUUACUGGGUGUAAGGGGGGCGCCGCCGGCGAUGCAAGCCAGGAGUGAAAGCCCCGGGCACAACCCCGGGACUGCUCUUGGAACUGCGUGGCUGGAGUGCAGGAGGGGCAGGCGGAAUUCCUGGUGUAGCGGUGACAUGCGUAGAUAUCAGGAGGAAGACCGGUGGCGAAGGCGGCCUGCUGGACUGCAACUGACGUUGAGGCCCGAAAGCGUGGGGAGCAAACAGGAUUAGAUACCCGAGUAGUC
Molecule: ribosomal RNA, 440 nt
Filed under: uncultured bacterium
Lineage: Bacteria
Description: partial 16S ribosomal RNA
Rfam family: Bacterial small subunit ribosomal RNA
Source: RNAcentral